RNAcentral lists this non-coding RNA (234 nucleotides) under Vairimorpha apis BRL 01. RNAcentral's name for it is "Nosema apis BRL 01 Archaeal large subunit ribosomal RNA". It matches the Rfam family "Archaeal large subunit ribosomal RNA", at positions 2721 to 2987 of the family's 2987-position model. The record is from Rfam by way of RNAcentral. Lineage: Eukaryota; Fungi; Microsporidia; Nosematidae.
AGUAUAUUUGAGUGAACUUUUGAUAGUACGAGAGGAACUCUAAGUGAUGACCACUGGUGGUGCGAUUAACUAUUCAGUUAUGUUGCUUAGCUACGCCAUUUCGAUUAAGGCUGAAAGCCUCUUAAGCCUGAAGCGUAGCUCAAAUAUAUAAUUGGGAGAAUACUACUCUAUUAAGCAGAACUGUAAGGAUGAAGGUGUAUACCGACAUCUUGAGGUUACUGCUUUUAUAACUUA